UACGUAGGGGGCAAGCGUUGUCCGGAAUUACUGGGCGUAAAGGGUGCGCAGGCGGUUUUUUAAGUCAGAUGUGAAAUACCCGGGCUUAACCUGGGGGGUGCAUUUGAAACUGGGGAACUUGAGUGCAGGAGAGGAAAGUGGAAUUCCUAGUGUAGCGGUGAAAUGCGUAGAUAUUAGGAGGAACACCAGUGGCGAAGGCGACUUUCUGGGCUGUAACUGACGCUGAGGCACGAAAGCGUGGGGAGAAAACAGG
Molecule: ribosomal RNA, 253 nt
Filed under: uncultured bacterium
Lineage: Bacteria
Description: partial 16S ribosomal RNA
Rfam family: Bacterial small subunit ribosomal RNA
Source: RNAcentral